Long non-coding RNA from Salvia miltiorrhiza (redroot sage), 1287 nucleotides. RefSeq lists it as uncharacterized. The record is from RefSeq and is a predicted model, not a curated record. NCBI's taxonomy places the organism in Eukaryota, Viridiplantae, Streptophyta, Magnoliopsida, Lamiales, Lamiaceae. The transcript is spliced from 2 exons.
UUCAUCAACUCGGACCGACUCCUCCUCUCAGCAGAGUUCGCCGCCGCCGUCGAGGGACAGGCGAGUGGUCGCGCCCCUGAAUCUGGGUGAUUCGAGAAUCGGCGAUGCCGACGCCCUCGUCUCUGAUGUUGUCCCCCAUCCUCCAAUUUCGAUGGAGCACAAAAUCGAGCCCUAAUCCUUCUUCAUCAGCGUCCACCACCUCUGCCUCUGAAAUUCCCUUGGAAUCGUCGUUGUGGCUUCUGAAAUCCGGCGUUCAGCUGCCGACGUCUUCGAUACCGGCGCCCUCUCCUCCUUCUCCUUUCCUCACGCAGAAUCCAAUCGAGCCCUAGUUUCAUCUCUGGAUUCGCCGCCCCUGGAAUCUCCGGCGAGGCUGGCGUCGCCGCCUUUGAAAUUGAUGAGGUUGACGCCGUUCUUCCCCUAUCUCGAUCUUCUCAAGUACAGCUUCGCGGUCGGCCCUGUCUUCCUCUCGUUUGAGCGAAACCGCCGCCGUUGCUGUUGAAGAAAUCCCCAAACUCAGCGAGGGUCGCCGUUCAACCUCGCCUCCCCUUCCUGAAGACUCGCCGUCAUCCUGUGUUGUCGUCAGAGCUCCUUUAUCUCGACGAACAGGGCAGCCGCUCUGAGUCUUCAGAAGCACCGAUGGUCUGUCGCCCCUGGUUCGACUCCAUCGCGCUUGCCUUGGCCGGUAUCAUUGUCUGCCGUCGGAGGAAGGCUCUUCCGCCUCAACAAACAAGCAGUCAGCCUCCGGCUGAUUCCGAAUUCUCAUCGACGAAGGCUGAAACUAUGGAGGUGAUGGAAGAAAAACUUAAUUCAGGCUUACCUCUUCGAAGCUCGGUAGCCACCAGACCAACUUCCUCCCUUUUGAUUGUUGAUGCGUGAAUGAAGAAACUAGGGGAAUUUUGUUGGCUGACCAAAUAUAAGGGAGAAGGAGUUGUUGAGUUCUACAUAUCCCAUGACAUGCGUGAAAGAGGGCAGCAGGUGUAGGGUGGCUGACUUGACAGCUUGCUUGUCCCCACACGCAUGCUUUUCCUUUUCUUUUCUGAUUGACAGCUUGCUGCCGUAAUAAUAGAAAUGUAGGGAGUAGACUAGGAAUUGAGUGAUGUUUGUAAUAGAUAGUGUAGAGUUGCGGCUGAUUGUAAAGUUUGAAAAGUUGUGGUGUGACUAAUAAAAUCCUUCAGUAUCUUGAUAAAGCGGUAUCUGAUAUUAAUCCCGUGUCUUGCUAAUAUAGCGUAUCUGUAAUACUAAUCCCAGGUUUUGUUAAUAAUACUAAAUACUCUAAUAAUUCUUGUA